GCGGAAAUUGUUGAACUUAAUUGUAAGAGUUGGGAGAGGUAGGGAUGGAAAAAUUCGAAUCACAUGAUGGAUUUUGAAUUUUGGAGUAGAUUUUUUUUUUUUUUUUGGAAAAAUGGGUGUGAGGUGAAGUGGAUUUUUUCUUUUGGAUAGUGGGUAUAGAGCGAUUAUAGUAAUAUAUUGCUAAGUCUUGACUUGCUCCCUUGUAUGAAAUUAUCAUUUUAUCGUUAUACAUAUAAGUUAUUAGAAAAGUAAAAAUGUAAUAAUAUAAUAUAGAAAAAAGACAAAUAUUUUAUGUUUAAAUUUCUUUUAAGAAU
This 314-nucleotide long non-coding RNA is filed under the name Gossypium raimondii (Peruvian cotton). RNAcentral's name for it is "long non-coding RNA (GRAI_LNC005598)". The record is from RNAcentral. Lineage: Eukaryota; Viridiplantae; Streptophyta; Magnoliopsida; Malvales; Malvaceae.